This 554-nucleotide ribosomal RNA is filed under the name uncultured bacterium. RNAcentral describes it as "bacterial SSU rRNA". It matches the Rfam family "Bacterial small subunit ribosomal RNA", at positions 372 to 919 of the family's 1533-position model. The record is from RNAcentral.
UGGGCGCAAGCCUGAUCCAGCAAUGCCGCGUGUGUGAAGACGGCCUUCGGGUUGUAAAGCACUUUCGAUUGGGAAGAAGGGCGCGGGGUUAACAGCCGCGCGUCUUGACGGUACCAAUUGAAGAAGCACCGGCUAACUCCGUGCCAGCAGCCGCGGUAAUACGGAGGGUGCAAGCGUUAAUCGGAAUUACUGGGCGUAAAGGGCGUGUAGGCGGACAUAUCAGUCAGGGGUGAAAUCCCGGGGCUCAACCCCGGAACUGCCUUUGAUACUGUAUGUCUAGAAUCUGUGAGGGGAUAGUGGAAUAUCAAGUGUAGAGGUGAAAUUCGUAGAUAUUCGGAGGAACACCAGUGGCGAAGGCGGCUCACUGGCUCGAUACUGACGCUGAGGUGCGAAAGUGUGGGGAGCAAACAGGAUUAGAUACCCUGGUAGUCCACACCGUAAACGAUGAAUGCCAGUCGUCGGGUAGCAUGCUAUUCGGUGACACACCUAACGGAUUAAGCAUUCCGCCUGGGGAGUACGGUCGCAAGAUUAAAACUCAAAGGAAUUGACGGGGA